GCAAUAGGGAGCGGCGCACGGGUGAGUAACAUGUGGGAAUAUGCCUUUUGGUACGGAACAACUUUUGGAAACGAAAGCUAAUACCGUAUGGUCCCUUCGGGGUAAAGAUUUAUCGCCAAAAGAGUAGCCCGCACUGGAUUAGCUAGUUGGUAAGGUAAUGGCUUACCAAGGCGACGAUCCAUAGCUGGUCUGAGAGGACGAUCAGCCACACUGGGACUGAGACACGGCCCAG
Molecule: ribosomal RNA, 232 nt
Filed under: uncultured bacterium
Lineage: Bacteria
Description: partial 16S ribosomal RNA
Rfam family: Bacterial small subunit ribosomal RNA
Source: RNAcentral